AACGAACGCUGGCGGCAUGCCUAACACAUGCAAGUCGAACGAGACCUUCGGGGCUAGUGGCGCACGGGUUCGUAACGCAUGGGAGCCUGCCAUUAGGUUCGGAAUAACUCCCCGAAAGGGGUGCUAAUACCGGAUAAUGUCUUCGGACCAAAGCUUUAUCGCCUUGGUUGGGCCCUCGUUGGAUUAGCUAGUUGGGAGGGUAAAAACCUACCAAGGCGACGAUCCAUAGCUGGUCUGUGAGGAGGAUCAGCCACACUGGGACUGAGACACGGCCCAGACUCCUACGGGAGGCAGGAGUGCGUAAUAUUGCACCAUCGGCGAAAGCAUGAUCCCGCUAUGCCGCGUGAGUGCUGAAGGCCUUAGGGUUGUAAAGCUCUUUUACCCGGGAUGAUCAUGACAGUACCGGGAGAAUAAGCCCCGGCUAACUCCGUG
Molecule: ribosomal RNA, 432 nt
Filed under: uncultured bacterium
Lineage: Bacteria
Description: partial 16S ribosomal RNA
Rfam family: Bacterial small subunit ribosomal RNA
Source: RNAcentral